Molecule: long non-coding RNA, 4488 nt
Organism: Oncorhynchus nerka (sockeye salmon)
Lineage: Eukaryota; Metazoa; Chordata; Actinopteri; Salmoniformes; Salmonidae
Exons: 3
Source: RefSeq, a predicted model, not a curated record
ACUGACUGUAAGAGAUACAGAGUGAGAGGAUGUUGGAUCCAGAAAUCUGAUAUGAGCAUCCUGCUAUGGAGCAUCUUCUGAUUGGGCAAUGAGGGAUUGCUAUGAAUACUAUGCAAACUUGUUAGUUGAUUUGAUACUAUGUGCUAAUAACUUGAUUAUUUAACACUUAAUGGUUUGGUCAUUCAAAGGCAUGGUCCCACACUUAAGACAAAAUUAAGAGCCUCAAAGUAAGAGUACCUAUCAAGGAUCAGGUCCCCACCUGUCUAUAGUCUUACUCAUUAUUAUCGAAAGGGUUUAAACUGAUCCUAGAUCAGCACUCCUACUCUGAGAGGCUUUGUGGAUACGGGACCUGACCUAAUACCAUUCAGACAGUAGUUCACAGUGGGCUCACCUCAGUGAGACUGUGUGUGGUCCUGUGCUGCUCAGCUGGUUCCUCUGUGGGUUCAGGAGGAGGUGUAGUCUGGUUGUCCUCCAUGACCAUGGUCUCCUCAGGGUUCCCCAGACCCUCCUCCUUCACCAGCAGCACCUCUGGACCCUCCUCCUCCUGGAAGAGAGAGGUGAUACACAUUACACAGACAUACACUCCCUCAGGUAUAUACACACAGAUAAUUAACACAUUUUCAAAAUGGAGUCUUUACCCAUCCCCACUAUGAGUCCUAUACUGUAGUUAGAGAAUGAAUUCAUUGUUGUUAAACCCAUCAUGGUGGACAUAAAUAUGUUGUGGGUAAAAACAAGUCACCUAUGAUCAGCUAAGUCAAAAGUCAUCAUACAUAUUUUGACAUGUACAGUAGGUGUUUGUUAGUGUGUGGGUAUAUUUAGUAAGUGUAUAAUGGUUAUAAAGCGCUGUCAGGUUUAUGCAGAAUAGGGUGAGAUCAGAGGUGAUGUAUACUAAGGAGAGUCUCAAUGAAAGUCGGAAUGAACAGUCCCAUUUUGUGUUUAUUAAACAGAAACAAGUUCUAAAUACACCAUAUGAAAACCACACACACGUUUCUCUGCGUGCCUGGCAGACAUCUUAUCUCGGAUGUCGGCCCACCCCCUCAAGUUCAACCUCGACAAGACGGAGCUGCUUAUACUCCAGGGGAAGGCCUGCCAGCUCCAAUACCUCUCCAUCAUGGUUGACAAAUCCACGGUGUCCCCCUCUCAGAGUGCAAAGAAUAUCAAAGCAAUGACUCGCUCCUGCAGGUUCAUGCUCUACAACAUCUGUAAAGUACGACCCUUCCUCACACAGGAAGCUGCGCAGGUCCUAAUCCAGGCUGUGGUCAUCUCCUGUUUACACGACUGCAAAUCUCUGUUGGAUGGGCCCCCCCUCCUGUGCCAUCAAACCCGUGCAACUUAUCUAGAACGCCGCAACUUCCCAAGUUCUCCCAUGUCACCCCGCUCCUCCGCACACUCCACUGGCUUUCAGUCGAAGCUCGCAUCCACUAAAAUACCAUGGUACUUGCCUACGGAGCAGCAAGGCAAAUUGCCCCUCCCUACCUUCAGGCUAUGCUCAAACCCUACACCCCGACCCGAGAACUCCACCACCUCUGAUGGGGGGGGGUCAGCUCCCGUUCAGCCCAGUCAAAACUCUUCUCUGUCCUGGCACCCUAUUGGUGGAAUAAGCUUCCCCCUGAACCUAGGACAGAAGAGGACAUGCUCCUCUUUCGAAACCAUCUAAAACCCUUCCUCUGGCCCCACCCCGAUGGGGGGGGUCAGCUCCCGUUCAGCCCAGUCAAAACUCUUCUCUGUCCUGGCACCCUAUUGGUGGAAUAAGCUUCCCCCUGAACCUAGGACAGAAGAGGACAUGCUCCUCUUUCGAAACCAUCUAAAACCCUUCCUCUUCAAAGAAUAUGUUAAAUGAAUCCCCUGGCACUGAUCCACAAUGUUUUAGCCCUCCACCGUUAAAAUAUAAAUAAGAAAUAAGUGAAAGAAAAAGGACAGAGCUCUCCACACGACCUCGCCAAUCAGUCUUGAGAGAGAGAGCGAGCGCUUGGUGACUUCUUGGUGAGUAAGUUCUGUCUCGUAUGACUGCUGGGUGUAUGUCAAACAGAUCAAGAGAUACAGUGCUUUCAGAAAGUAUUCAUACCUCUUGACUUAUUCCACAUUUUGUUGUGUUACAACGGAUUAAAUAGAUUGUCUCGCACAUCAUACCCCAUAAUGAGUGCGAAAGAGAAAAGUAAAAACAUGUUUUUAGACAUUUUUGCAAAUUUAUUGAAAAUGAAAUCUCAUUUACAUAGCUAUUCACACCCCCGAGUCAAUACAUGUUAGAAGCACCUUUGGCAGCGAUUACAGCUGAGUCUUUCUGGGUAAGUCUCUAAGAGCUUUCCACAUCUGGAUUUUGCAACAUUUGCCCAUUAUUCUUUUCAAACUUCUUUAAGCUCCGUCAAAUUGAUUGUUGAUCACCGCAAGACAACCAUUUUCAGGUCUUGCCCUAUUGUUAAGUCAAAACUACAGUAACUCAGCCACUGAGAAACAUUCACAGUCUUCUUGGUAAGCAACCCCAGUGUAGAUUUGGCCUUGUGUUUCAGGUUAUUGUCCUGCUGAAAUGUGAAUUCUUCUCCCAGGGGCUGGUGGAAAGCAGACUGAACCAGGUUUUACUCUAGGAUUGUGCCUGUGGUUAGCUCCAUUCCGUUUAUUUUUAUUCCGAAACUCCCCAGUCCUUCACGAUUACAAGCAUACCCAUAACAGUGAUACUCAGUAAUGUGUUGAUUUUCCUCAAACACAACACUUUGUAUUCAGGACAAAAAGUUAAUUGCUUUAGCACAUUUGUUGCAGGGUUACUUUAGUGCCUUGUUGCAAACAAGAUGCAUGAUUUGGAAUAUUUUUAUUCUGUACAGGCUUCCUUCUUUUCACUCUGUCAAUUAGGUUAGUAUUGUGGAGUAACUACAAUGGUGUUGAUCCAUCCCGAGUUUUCCAUCGAUCACAGCCAUUAAACUCUGUAUUGCGAGGUAUUGGUAAACAUCCCUGGUCUUUGUGGUUGAGUCGGUGUUCGAAAUUCACUGCUCAACUGAGGGACCUUGAUGAUAAUUCUAUCUGUGGGGUACAGCGAUAAGGUAGUCAUGUUAAACACUAUCAUUGUACACAGAGUGAGUCCAUGCAAUUUAUUAUGUGACUUUAUUAUGUACUCAUGAACUUAUUUAGGCUUGCCAUAACAAAGGAGUUAAAUACUUUUUUUGUUGUUGUCCAUUUGGACAUCUUAAAUCUAUAUUCUACUUGUCCCAGUAUUUUUGACGGUUUCUUUUACUUUUCCCAGAUGAGAACAAGCGUUAAAGAGCAACUGCCCCUAAAAAGCAACUAAUCCCUUUGAAAACAGCCUAUGUGGUAUUGAUAUGAGUCAGAAACAUUUAUUAUUGUGUCAAAAUUGACUAGUGUAAGUAGGAUCAUUUUGUUCAUAAAGUCAGUCUUGUCUAAAACGGAGUUUGGAACCCCAUCUUAAAAAUUAAUUUAAAAUGUUAAAUCUUUUCAUGGUUUGUUCUUAAUUUAAGAUUAUGGUUAGGCAAAAGUUUAGCCUUGUGGUAAAGGUUAGGUUUAAAAUUAAAUUCUAAUAAGAUAAAUUGUAGAAAUAGGCUGGGUUUCUGACUGUGGCAACGACCUAGAAUUAGCUUGACCCAAGUUAACUACCCUUGUGACACAGACGGCUUCAUCAACAAAUGGUAAUGUGUGUUAUAUAUAAAAAAGUUGUAAACCAAAAAUACCCGGUUUGAUAAACUAGUAAUUACCCAGCCAAGCAGAUACAAGUAGUAGAUCAUUUUGGUUGUGAAGUGAAUUAUCAAAAGCGUUCUCAUUUCUUUAUAACAAAAUGCAAUUAACCCCUUGGCUGUCUAUCGUAUCACCCUGUCACAGGCCCUCCCGGUCAACACCACCUCAUAACAUGAGGAAGUCAACUGUUUAUAAGGAUCGCCUGCUGCAGUUGUUUGAGAAAUGUCCAGUUUGCAGCCGAACAUCCAACACAGAGAAGACCAGCAAGGGGACCCUCAGCAUCACGCAGACAUUCCCUCGCUGUGAGCAUUCCUAUAAAACGGAACAGGGAGGACACUUGAAUCAGGUGCCACCAAACUCCUGUGGUUUGCAUGUAACCGACCAGUAUUUUGAUGAGGGUCCAGGAGCUGAUCUACGCUGGCAAAGACCACACCUCCAGCCUCACCUCGUCUGCUCAACAACGAUUGUUGACGGGUAGACAAGAAUUAGAUGCAUCUAUGGAGCCAGCACUUGGAGACUUGCAAGAUGAUGUGCUGGAGUCCUGACCUACAGACAGGCUUGAUACUGGCAUCUCUGAAUGGAGAGAAACAUGGCACUCGGCAUAAAAAUGUUACUAGACAACUUUUACUUGUAUCGUCUUUUUUUUAUUAUUGAAUUAAAUGGUAUGAGUCAAUAUGGGGAGGGAGAGAGCCUCUGUAUUCUGCACAAGGAUCAGGGAACUCCUGUUGUAUACGGGACACCACACAGAAAGGUAUGACCACUGAUAUGUUUGCCAAGGCAGCCCCAUUACCACCAGACAAAAUGCAGAUA